Molecule: ribosomal RNA, 268 nt
Filed under: uncultured prokaryote
Description: partial 16S ribosomal RNA
Rfam family: Bacterial small subunit ribosomal RNA
Source: RNAcentral
UACGGAGGAUCCGAGCGUUAUCCGGAAUUAUUGGGCGUAAAGAGCGCGCAGGUGGUUGAUUAAGUCUGAUGUGAAAGGCUACGGCUCAACCGUAGUAAGCCUUUGAAACUGGGAAACUUGAGUGCAGGAGAGGAGAGUGGAAUUCCUAGUGUAGCGGUGAAAUGCGUAGAUAUUAGGAGGAACACCAGUUGCGAAGGCGGCUCUCUGGACUGUAACUGACACUGAGGCACGAAAGCGUGGGGAGCAAACAGGAUUAGAUACCCGGGUA